Molecule: ribosomal RNA, 487 nt
Filed under: uncultured Acaulospora
Lineage: Eukaryota; Fungi; Glomeromycota; Glomeromycetes; Diversisporales; Acaulosporaceae
Description: SSU rRNA
Rfam family: Eukaryotic small subunit ribosomal RNA
Source: RNAcentral
AGCAGCCGCGGUAAUUCCAGCUCCAAUAGCGUAUAUUAAAGUUGUUGCAGUUAAAAAGCUCGUAGUUGAAUUUCGGAAUUUGUCGGUUGGUCGGGCUUCACUGUCCGCACUGGCCUGAUGAAUUCCUACCUUCUGAAUAACCAGCAUGCUAUUAAUUUAGUGCGUUGGGGAAGCAGAGCUAUUACCUUGAGAAAAUUAGAGUGCUUAAAGCAGGCUCACGCUUGAAUAGAUUAGCAUGGAAUAAUAAAAUAGGACGGCUUGGUUCUAUUUUGUUGGUUUCUAGGAUCACCGUAAUGAUUAAUAGGGAUAGUUGGGGGCAUUAGUAUUCAAUUGUCAGAGGUGAAAUUCUUGGAUUUAUUGAAGACUAACUUCUGCGAAAGCAUUUGCCAAGGAUGUUUUCAUUAAUCAAGAACGAAAGUUAGGGGAUCGAAGACGAUCAGAUACCGUCGUAGUCUUAACCAUAAACUAUGCCGACUAGGGAUCGGAC